Molecule: long non-coding RNA, 451 nt
Organism: Limulus polyphemus (Atlantic horseshoe crab)
Lineage: Eukaryota; Metazoa; Arthropoda; Merostomata; Xiphosura; Limulidae
Exons: 2
Source: RefSeq, a predicted model, not a curated record
CUAAAACUAGACGGUACACAUAUCAUGCUUAGUUGUUGAAGAUGAUGAAAGGAGGAAUGAGGGGAACGGAAGAGAUUUCUUAACCCUAUUUCUAGAGUAGAUCUGGUGUUAUCUGUCACUAUCGUGAAGACAAGUAUUACUGAAUAGUGUCACCCCAUAAAAUGGCAACGACGCAAGAAAAGGCUCAACGCGUCGUUUGGCUUGCAACGACCAAGUCAAUGACUGUGGUGCAGCGUAAUUAAAGACGCCAGUACAGGACAGAAGUAUGGGGGUAUGUUAAGGAUAUCGUGUAUCGCACACCUACAGCAAACAUCACGGAUCUAAAUACCUGCAUAACGGACGCCAUCGCCACUGUAACUGUGGACAUUUUGCAGCGAACAUGGACAGAAAUCGAUAAUCGAUUAAACGUGCUGAGAGCCAUUAAUGUUAAUAAAGACUGUUUGAAUUGGUG